Non-coding RNA from Hemicordylus capensis (graceful crag lizard), 72 nucleotides. Lineage: Eukaryota; Metazoa; Chordata; Lepidosauria; Squamata; Cordylidae. The record is from the annotation of a RefSeq genome assembly.
GGGGCCAUAGUUCAGUGGCAGAACAUCUGCUUUGAAUGCAGAAGGUCCCAGGUUCAAUUCCUGGCAUCUCCA